RNAcentral lists this ribosomal RNA (567 nucleotides) under Trebouxia sp. TR1 LM-2014. RNAcentral's name for it is "eukaryotic LSU rRNA". The stretch from base 120 to 273 matches the Rfam family "5.8S ribosomal RNA". Lineage: Eukaryota; Viridiplantae; Chlorophyta; Trebouxiophyceae; Trebouxiales; Trebouxiaceae. The record is from RNAcentral.
CUUUAUGGGUUGAGGAAAUGCCGGAUGUGAGGGGUGGCGGUUAACACACGUCAAGCAAUCAACUCUGAAGACAGAUCUACUAGCUGGCUUUGCUGGCUGUAGGCUGAAUAACUAUAGACAACUCUCAACAACGGAUAUCUUGGCUCCCGUAACGAUGAAGAACGCAGCGAAAUGCGAUACGUAGUGUGAAUUGCAGAAUUCCGUGAACCAUCGAAUCUUUGAACGCAAAUUGCGCUCGAGGCCUCGGCCAAGAGCAUGUCUGCCUCAGCGUCGGCUACUACCCUCAACCAACUUUCCUAUCGCAGGAUAGGGAAUGCCGGUUGGAUAUGGCCGUCCGGUCUGCCCUUCGGGUUGCCGGUCAGCUGAAAUACAUUCACGCUGUGGGAGCUGCUUUCCUUUCGAGGGAAGGCGAGUUUCGAUUUGGUAGGUGACCUUUGCCGGUUACAUGCCUUCGUUGCCCGCUAAGCUUCCCAUUAUGCGUUGUGCAGGACGCCUUUUGGCUUUCGACCUGAGGUCAGGCAAGAACACCCGCUGAACUUAAGCAUAUCAAUAAGCGGAGGAAAAGAA